CCUACGGGUGGCAGCAGUGAGGAAUAUUGGUCAAUGGGCGCGAGCCUGAACCAGCCAAGUCGCGUGAGGGAAGACGGUCCUAUGGAUUGUAAACCUCUUUUGUCGGGGAGCAAAAGACGCCACGCGUGGCGUUCCGAGAGUACCCGAAGAAAAAGCAUCGGCUAACUCCGUGCAAGCAGCCGCGGUAAUACGGAGGAUGCGAGCGUUAUCCGGAUCUAUUGGGUUUAAAGGGUGCGCAGGCGGAAUAUUAAGUCAGCGGUAAAAUUGAGAGGCUCAACCUCAGCGAGCCGUUGAAACUGGUAUUCUUGAGUGAGUGAGAGGUAGGCGGAAUGCGUGGUGUAGCGGUGAAAUGCAUAGAUAUCACGCAGAACACCGAUGGCGAAGGCAGCAUACCGGCGCUCAACUGACGCUCAUGCACGAAAGUGUGGGUAUCGAACAGGAUUAGAUACCCCAGUAGUC
Molecule: ribosomal RNA, 459 nt
Filed under: uncultured bacterium
Lineage: Bacteria
Description: partial 16S ribosomal RNA
Rfam family: Bacterial small subunit ribosomal RNA
Source: RNAcentral